AUUGAACGCUGGCGGCAUGCUUUACACAUGCAAGUCGAACGGCAGCGCGGGCUUCGGCCUGGCGGCGAGUGGCGAACGGGUGAGUAAUACAUCGGAACGUGCCCAGUAGUGGGGGAUAGCUCGGCGAAAGCCGGAUUAAUACCGUAUACGACCUGAGGGUGAAAGCGGGGGAUCUUCGGACCUCGCGCUAUUUGAGCGGCCGAUGGCAGAUUAGCUAGUUGGUGGGGUAAAGGCCUACCAAGGCGACGAUCUGUAGCUGGUCUGAGAGGACGACCAGCCACACUGGGACUGAGACACGGCCCAGACUCCUACGGGAGGCAGCAGUGGGGAAUUUUGGACAAUGGGCGAAAGCCUGAUCCAGCAAUGCCGCGUGUGUGAUGAAGGCCUUCGGGUUGUAAAGCACUUUUGGCGGGAACGAAAAGGACUGUGCCAAUACCACGGUUCGAUGACGGUACCCGCAGAAUAAGCACCGGCUAACUACGUG
This 484-nucleotide ribosomal RNA is filed under the name uncultured bacterium. RNAcentral describes it as "partial 16S ribosomal RNA". It matches the Rfam family "Bacterial small subunit ribosomal RNA", at positions 30 to 507 of the family's 1533-position model. The record is from RNAcentral.